RNAcentral lists this transfer RNA (77 nucleotides) under Streptomyces aurantiacus. RNAcentral's name for it is "tRNA-Arg". The record is from RNAcentral. Lineage: Bacteria; Bacillati; Actinomycetota; Actinomycetes; Kitasatosporales; Streptomycetaceae.
GUGACCCUGGACGGGGGCGUCUGCGUCUUUUCGGGAGUCGACGAGGGCUUGUCCUUGUUGGAAGCCGGCGGGUCGCC